This 792-nucleotide ribosomal RNA is filed under the name uncultured bacterium. RNAcentral describes it as "bacterial SSU rRNA". It matches the Rfam family "Bacterial small subunit ribosomal RNA", at positions 117 to 925 of the family's 1533-position model. The record is from RNAcentral.
GUGAGGAACCUGCCUCAAAGAGGGGGACAACAGUUGGAAACGACUGCUAAUACCGCAUAAGCCCACGACCCGGCAUCGGGUAGAGGGAAAAGGAGCAAUCCGCUUUGAGAUGGCCUCGCGUCCGAUUAGCUAGUUGGUGAGGUAAUGGCCCACCAAGGCGACGAUCGGUAGCCGGACUGAGAGGUUGAACGGCCACAUUGGGACUGAGACACGGCCCAGACUCCUACGGGAGGCAGCAGUGGGGAAUAUUGCACAAUGGGGGAAACCCUGAUGCAGCGACGCCGCGUGGAGGAAGAAGGUCUUCGGAUUGUAAACUCCUGUUGUUGAGGAAGAUAAUGACGGUACUCAACAAGGAAGUGACGGCUAACUACGUGCCAGCAGCCGCGGUAAAACGUAGGUCACAAGCGUUGUCCGGAAUUACUGGGUGUAAAGGGAGCGCAGGCGGGAAGACAAGUUGGAAGUGAGAUCCAUGGGCUCAACCCAUGAACUGCUUUCAAAACUGUUUUUCUUGAGUAGUGCAGAGGUAGGCGGAAUUCCCGGUGUAGCGGUGGAAUGCGUAGAUAUCGGGAGGAACACCAGUGGCGAAGGCGGCCUACUGGGCACCAACUGACGCUGAGGCUCGAAAGUGUGGGUAGCAAACAGGAUUAGAUACCCUGGUAGUCCACACUGUAAACGAUGAUUACUAGGUGUUGGAGGAUUGACCCCUUCAGUGCCGCAGUUAACACAAUAAGUAAUCCACCUGGGGAGUACGACCGCAAGGUUGAAACUCAAAGGAAUUGACGGGGGCCCGCA